GAGAAGCCAAUCUUUCUGCAGACAAAUGGAUCUGCCUGGGACUCAGCACUGCUCUUCUGAUAUGACAGCUGAUUGCCCUGGACACUGUAUCAUGAUAAGUUUUUAAACCUGAUGUCCUGUGGGCAUGGAAUGCCAGCCCUGAAGCCAAGAUUAUGGGGUCAUUUUGCAAUAAUUACAAGAAAAAAGAAGAAGGAUGAGAGGAAAAAAAAAAAAAAAGCAACGGCAUCGACACUGAGUCCAUACAGAAUCGCAGGUACUUGCAGCCAACACAGCACAAGCAUUCCAGCUGGGGCCAGCACACAAAUCUCAGAUUGAGACAUGGCUCAGCCAGCGCUGUGACCUGAGAUUAGAGACGUCCUUC
RNAcentral lists this long non-coding RNA (361 nucleotides) under Fukomys damarensis (Damara mole-rat). RNAcentral's name for it is "lncRNA (ENSFDAG00000031411.1)". The record is from RNAcentral. Lineage: Eukaryota; Metazoa; Chordata; Mammalia; Rodentia; Bathyergidae.